RNAcentral lists this ribosomal RNA (517 nucleotides) under uncultured Streptomyces sp. RNAcentral describes it as "bacterial SSU rRNA". It matches the Rfam family "Bacterial small subunit ribosomal RNA", at positions 144 to 674 of the family's 1533-position model. The record is from RNAcentral. Lineage: Bacteria; Bacillati; Actinomycetota; Actinomycetes; Kitasatosporales; Streptomycetaceae.
CAAGCCCUGGAAACGGGGUCUAAUACCGGAUACGACAUCCUCCCGCAUGGGAAGGGUGUGGAAAGCUCCGGCGGUGCAGGAUGAGCCCGCGGCCUAUCAGCUUGUUGGUGGGGUGAUGGCCUACCAAGGCGACGACGGGUAGCCGGCCUGAGAGGGCGACCGGCCACACUGGGACUGAGACACGGCCCAGACUCCUACGGGAGGCAGCAGUGGGGAAUAUUGCACAACGGGCGAAAGCCUGAUGCAGCGACGCCGCGUGAGGGAUGACGGCCUUCGGGUUGUAAACCUCUUUCAGCAGGGAAGAAGCGAGAGUGACGGUACCUGCAGAAGAAGCACCGGCUAACUACGUGCCAGCAGCCGCGGUAAUACGUAGGGUGCGAGCGUUGUCCGGAAUUAUUGGGCGUAAAGAGCUCGUAGGCGGCCUGUCACGUCGGAUGUGAAAGCCCGGGGCUUAACCCCGGGUCUGCAUUCGAUACGGGCAGGCUAGAAUUCGGUAGGGGAGAUCGGAAUUCCUGGU